AUUGUUACAAAUUGUCAAUACUUAAUAUUAUCCACUAUUAUUAAAAAUAAUUAUAUUGAAUUUCGAUUAAUAUAUUUUUCUAAUGUCACGAGGUGCUCUGCGGAUCCGGAAUAGAAUCUGCUGCCAUCCCACGAAUGUUUCAUGGGCUAUCUGUUCCCGACUGGUCGGGCCUUGUUUCACAUCUCCCGUCCCCUUCUAGGCCUGAACGAACCUACGAUGGCACCUCCUUCAAUCAACUUCUGACAAAAGUGAUAAAAAGCUUAAAGAUGAAGACAAGAGAAGUUAAAAGUUAUUAAGGAUGUUUCAAUAACGACUACAUAACAACAAAUAAAUGUCCACAAAAACCUGACACCUCUUUGUUUCGAAUCUGCGAUAACGGCCAACUGUAAACGGCGGACGGAUUGGUUAGGCGUCAGACUACAGCUCAGAGUAACAGUCAGGAAUUUUAUUUGAGGUUCUGUCCCGGAUAUGUAACACCACGUCCAUCUGGACACCCAUUUGUGAAACUGGUCGAAAUCACGAUGGACUUAAAAAGGCCCUUUUAAGGCCUACAGAGCGGAACGAGUAAGAAAAACUCUUUAAAAGCGAUCAAUUUUUGGAACUUUUUAAAAUGCGUAUAAAAUAACCUAGAAACAACGGACAGAUUUUAUGUUUCCGUCAGUGGCCAUUCUUCAGAGGUUUGAUUGUGUUAUAAAUUAGUGCUGUCUCUUUUUCGUUUGUUUUUUUAUCAACAUAUUAAAAAAUAAUAAUUAUAUUAA
This is a long non-coding RNA of Centruroides sculpturatus (bark scorpion), 758 nucleotides long. RefSeq lists it as uncharacterized. The record is from RefSeq and is a predicted model, not a curated record. NCBI's taxonomy places the organism in Eukaryota, Metazoa, Arthropoda, Arachnida, Scorpiones, Buthidae. The transcript is spliced from 3 exons.